AGAGUUUGAUUAUGGCUCAGGAUGAACGCUGGCGGCGUGCCUAACACAUGCAAGUCGAACGAAGCUUCCGAUCGGAUCCCUUCGAGGUGAAGAGAGGAAUGACUGAGUGGCGGACGGGUGAGUAACGCGUGGGAAACCUGCCCCAUACAGGGGGACAACGGUUAGAAAUGACCGCUAAUACCGCAUAAGCGCACAGUACCGCAUGGUACAGUGUGAAAAAACUCCGGUGGUAUGGGAUGGUCCCGCGUCUGAUUAGCUAGUUGGUGAGGUAACGGCCCACCAAGGCGACGAUCAGUAGCCGACCUGAGAGGGUGACCGGCCACAUUGGGACUGAGACACGGCCCAGACUCCUACGGGAGGCAGCAGUGGGGAAUAUUGCACAAUGGGGGAAACCCUGAUGCAGCCGACGCCGCGUGAGCGAUGAAGUAUUUCGGUAUGUAAAGCUCUAUCAGCAGGGAAGAAAAAUGACGGUACCUGACUAAGAAGCUCCGGCUAAAUACGUGCCAGCCGCAGC
RNAcentral lists this ribosomal RNA (514 nucleotides) under uncultured bacterium. Its description in RNAcentral is "bacterial SSU rRNA". It matches the Rfam family "Bacterial small subunit ribosomal RNA", at positions 8 to 518 of the family's 1533-position model. The record is from RNAcentral.